UUGCCAAAUCGUUUUGCAAGCGAAGCAAGACGUUGUCAAAUUGAUUGCACUAACUUAAUUCCUGUUCUCUCUUAUUCGCUGUUGGCCAGACAUGAAAAGUAAACAAACGAAAAACGAGCAUUUGUGGGUUCUAACUUGCCUAGCCUUUGAUCACUUUCAGAUGUCAAAUUAGUCAGUAUCAGUUACUUUGCACCUCCCUGUAAAAAUGUAUAGGCAGUUAUUAUUUGGUAUUGGUAACUUUUUGGUGAUGACCAAGAAAGCUCACUUGUUAAUUUUUCAAUAAUUGCUUUUUUUAUCUAGUAAAUGUGUAUUUCACGGAGAUGACGAAUAUUUUUUGGUAUACCCGACUUAGUCGUCCGUGGAUGCUAAGGGUUGUCACUAGGUGGCAAAAAAUGUCCAUGUGUUUAGGGAUUGAACUAUUCAGCUCUAGUGUGUUCAUAAUUCUAGAAUCUAGAUGGAUGUAGGACUGUAGGAGCAUGGUAGGAGUGUGGGUCAUCAAAGUCAAACUGUCAAAGUGCUGAGACGACUGACAUUUAUAUUUUAUUCUUCUCUAUUAUUUAUUCUCUUUAUUCCGAGACGCCGGCCGAGAAGGGUUACUUUACACUCUAGUCAUUGCUGGGUACUUUAUUCUGAAAUUGUUCGUCAAAAUAAGUCUAAUGGAGUCUGAGCUUCUUCAUGCGUUACGUCCACGUUAUGGCCGACUUGUCAUGAAGAUGGGUCUUAAAAGGGGUCUCUACAUAUUGAAAGACAAAUGAGAUGAAAAGAGGAAAUCUGAAAAGCUAUUGUGAAAAAGUGUCAGUUUCGAAGCAAUCAGAGGGUUUAAGAAUUUACUCAUGCUUGACAUUAAAUUCUUGAUGUAAAUAACACCUGACAACUACUACUUCUUAUAAGAUUCCUUCAUCAGUUAAGUGGUUGAUCUGUGAUUGUGUUUGGUGUGCAGUGGGUCUCUACAAUAUUGCAUGAAAAAAAUGUGAUAAUCCUGAAAUGGAUUCAUUCAUCAGUUUGAUGUAGAAGCUGUUAAUGGUGUUAUCUGGUGUACAGUGGUUUAGCUGUCAUUUCCCAGUUGAGAGCUGCCCUGAAGUGUUGAACUGUUGUGCAAAAUAGUCGAUGUUGCCUAGUGGCGGUCGGGCAUAUUUUAUCGGCUCCUUAUGUCGAUGUGUCGUCUCUUGCCACCUGUACCCACGUUGAGUUCAACCGUUCACCGCCGUUUCAUAGACUUGAUCCAUCUCUCCAAACCCCUGAUUGAACUAAUAAGCCGUAAUUUUACUCUGCUUAAAAGGCGUCCAACCAAAAAUUAAGUUGUAAAGGGAGAGAAGGUGCGAUAGGAAUCAGUCGAUGAGCAUCUCCGACACGGCAACAGCAUCUGCAGUAUACUAUUUGUAACCAACUGGAAUACCGGAUGUCGUAUUACCAGUCCGCAAUCAUGGUUAACUACGUUGUCGUGCUGCUGUUGGACAUCGUAUCGGUGAUGGCUCGGUCGACCACUGUCCACUGGUGUAUCGAUGUUUCCUGGGUAUGGUGAAUACCAAGCACCAGCAGCGAAAGAAUAGUGCACCACGUCGCCGCCGUACUACACAACAAUGUCUUGAUACGCAACACAACUUACUGCACUCUCAAGUACUAAAUCAACAAGCUCCAAAAUACAACACGAAAACUUGCGCUGCCCCUGAUCUGUUGUACUGAAAUCUUACUCUGUCCUGAGUAACAUCACAUUACCAUACUGAUGCCCCAAACUAUUUUUCUGCUCGCAACUAUUACACCGCGGCUCUAGCUUAUUUCACCAUCAAAGCGGUAUAUACCGAAGAGUUUAAGUACUACACAACCUACUGCAGCACACUAUUUGUCACCAACUGCCUUUUUCAUCGUAUUAAAUCGGUUUCCAAUCAUGGGCUGGAUCGACCAUGGAUGUACUGAUGUCUCCUGGAUAUGGCUGAUAUGAAAUCACCACACUGCCAUACUUCACAACAACGAGGUCUCCAAGUACUACACCACUGUGGGACGGAAUACUACAAGAUUAUGUAUGCUGCUCCUUUCUACUACACCAAUACCCCUAAUCCCCUACUGGUUGUCUACUGAAAUAAUAUGUUUAAUUUGUGUUUCAUCCGUGAGUGUAUAAUUCAUUUGAUGAUAUUCUGUUGCCCAAUGUGGCGUGUUGCAGCCCAGGUUGCGAUUGGUGAAAGUUCUUUGACAUGAAGUUAAAACUGCGGUUGUCUCAAGCGAUGUUAAGAUUAUUUACUGUAUACUGGAAUCUUAAACCUUAAAUAACAUGUCGAAUUUUG
Daphnia pulicaria is the source of this 2279-nucleotide long non-coding RNA. RefSeq lists it as uncharacterized. The record is from RefSeq and is a predicted model, not a curated record. Lineage: Eukaryota; Metazoa; Arthropoda; Branchiopoda; Diplostraca; Daphniidae. The transcript is spliced from 11 exons.